CGAGCCGAGAGCCGCCAAGGAGAUCUUGGGCUGGACCAGCACCACCAACCUCCCGGAGGAUCUCAAGGAGCGGUUCAGCGAGUACAUCAGCAUCGGCCGCGACAAGAAGGAGAUCAAGUUCGAUCUCGAUGACAAGAUUCUGGAGUCCCUCAAGGUGGCGGUCACCGCCUGAGACGAGCGAGCCGCCGCCUCUAAUCAGACAGAAGCAUGAGCCCGGCCUCAGAGGAGAGCUCUCUUCUUCCUGUACGUACCCAUUUUCCUCCUCCAUUUCUCUCUCUGCCUGCCUGCCUGCCUGCCUGCCUGCCUGCAUGCCCUCUGUGAUACAUACAUACACAACAGGCUGAUCAUCUGGCGCCAGAAACUUAUCAUGGAAUAUUGUUCUUAUUGCCCAUGAAAUCUUAUGAAAAGGGGAUUAUAAAAGCGGAUGAUCUAUGAUGGUUCUAGCAUUAUCCAUG
Molecule: long non-coding RNA, 455 nt
Filed under: Spirodela polyrhiza (greater duckweed)
Lineage: Eukaryota; Viridiplantae; Streptophyta; Magnoliopsida; Alismatales; Araceae
Description: long non-coding RNA (SPOL_LNC002322)
Source: RNAcentral